UACGAAGGGGGCUAGCGCUGCUCGGAAUGACUGGGCGUAAAGGGCGCGUAGGCGGCGCAGUUAGUCAGGCGUGAAAUUCCUGGGCUCAACCUGGGGACUGCGCUUGAUACGGCUGUGCUUGAGGAUGGAAGAGGCUCGCGGAAUUCCCAGUGUAGAGGUGAAAUUCGUAGAUAUUGGGAAGAACACCGGUGGCGAAGGCGGCGAGCUGGUCCAUUACUGACGCUGAGGCGCGACAGCGUGGGGAGCAAACAGG
Molecule: ribosomal RNA, 253 nt
Filed under: uncultured bacterium
Lineage: Bacteria
Description: partial 16S ribosomal RNA
Rfam family: Bacterial small subunit ribosomal RNA
Source: RNAcentral